CCUACGGGAGGCUGCAGUCGAGAAUCAUUCACAAUGGGGGAAACCCUGAUGGUGCGACGCCGCGUGGGGGAAUGAAGGUCUUCGGAUUGUAAACCCCUGUCAUGUGGGAGCAAAUUAAAAAGAUAGUACCACAAGAGGAAGAGACGGCUAACUCUGUGCCAGCAGCCGCGGUAAUACAGAGGUCUCAAGCGUUGUUCGGAAUCACUGGGCGUAAAGCGUGCGUAGGCUGUUUCGUAAGUCGUGUGUGAAAGGCGCGGGCUCAACCCGCGGACGGCACAUGAUACUGCGAGACUAGAGUAAGGGAGGGGGAACCGGAAUUCUCGGUGUAGCAGUGAAAUGCGUAGAUAUCGAGAGGAACACUCGUGGCGAAGGCGGGUUCCUGGACAGUAACUGACGCUGAGGCACGAAGGCCAGGGGAGCGAAAGGGAUUAGAUACCCUGGUAGUC
Molecule: ribosomal RNA, 446 nt
Filed under: uncultured bacterium
Lineage: Bacteria
Description: partial 16S ribosomal RNA
Rfam family: Bacterial small subunit ribosomal RNA
Source: RNAcentral